GCUGAACUGAGACCCACCUUAGGGGUCAGGAUCCAUCCUCUUCCAUGAUGAUCAGGGAUGAGGAGUUAGCCAGAUAAGCGGACUAACGUCCACAAGUCAUGGACUCCUGUUCUGGGUCACACAGAGUUAGGGCUAAGAAACCAGGUCUGCAGGCGCCUAGUUUCCCGCAGUUCUUCUGGGUCUGAGUUUGGGGUGGUGGGGAAGAGGCGAGCGUGUCAAGGAGGGUGAGAGGGAGGGUGGGGCUGUGUUUCUGGGACUUUCCUCGCUGAGGUCAGAGGCACCGAAAUAGACGCGCUGCAGCGAGCGCCCGGAGGCCCGGUCACACCCUGUGCCCGGCCCGCCGCGGGGAGCGGUCCAGCCGCAGCGCACGAGCCCUCCGCCGUCCCACUGCCCCCCGGAACCGCGCGAGCCUCGCAAACCGCUCGGCGCCCAGUCUCCACCUCGCCGGCUUCAUGAACGUGCCCCGGGAGACCCCGACGCCCUGAAGCCGGCGCGGCCGCCCCACCGCCCCACCGCCCCACCGCCCCACCGCCGUCUGCGCGAACGCCGGGCCUCCCCCUCCGCCCAUCGCUGCCACCAUCUCUACUCCGACGGCUGCGGCGGUGGGUGUGGCCACCGCGCUUGCCAAUCAGGAAGUGAGGGCCGGCUCCGGACGCGCCCCGCUGUUACGUCACUCCGACGGCCCCGGAUGCCCCGCCCAGUGGCCUUGCCUGGGAAAGGCGACUGGGGCACCGGUGGGUGCGGACCCUCAAAGGGUGAAAAUAAUUCCCGUGUGAAUUGCGCGCAUUAUAACUGCUCUAAGAAAUGCAGCCAGGGCAUUUUAAAAUGUAUUUUUUCAAUCACUCCUCUUCCAGCCAUUUAUCCGUCCG
This 869-nucleotide long non-coding RNA is filed under the name Homo sapiens (human). RNAcentral describes it as "HSALNT0003782". The record is from RNAcentral. Lineage: Eukaryota; Metazoa; Chordata; Mammalia; Primates; Hominidae.